UUGACCGCCUCCAGCUGAGCAUCGCCCAGCGUCCAGUUGACACUCACACAGGAGGCCUUCCCCGGCUGCUGGGACUCGGCACUGCUCAGCCCUACAGGAACACAACACAGCAACAACAUGUGCCCUACAUCGCUGCGUGUCUCUGCCGCUCAGCCUCUCUGACUGGCCUAGAUCUGAAGUGAUGGCUGACGCAGUCUCUACAAGUUGGAUGUCAUUCAGAUCCUCUUCCAGCAUUCAUCCUCACAACAAACGGAAAGCCUCAGGUCUCCGUGGAGCCCCGGAGGCAGACGCGCCAGACAGCUUCAUAGCUGUUGCUUGUCUGGCACAAUGACAUGGUGAUGAGCUGCUCGCCCUGUAAGACCCCGUCCCACGUUUGGACCGGCCCCCGACCUCGCACCGGCACCGUCC
Long non-coding RNA from Notothenia coriiceps (black rockcod), 408 nucleotides. RefSeq lists it as uncharacterized. The transcript is spliced from 3 exons. NCBI's taxonomy places the organism in Eukaryota, Metazoa, Chordata, Actinopteri, Perciformes, Nototheniidae. The record is from RefSeq and is a predicted model, not a curated record.